This 433-nucleotide ribosomal RNA is filed under the name uncultured bacterium. RNAcentral describes it as "partial 16S ribosomal RNA". It matches the Rfam family "Bacterial small subunit ribosomal RNA", at positions 29 to 507 of the family's 1533-position model. The record is from RNAcentral.
AACGAACGCUGGCGGCAUGCCUAACACAUGCAAGUCGAACGAGACCUUCGGGUCUAGUGGCGCACGGGUGCGUAACGCGUGGGAACCUGCCUUUAGGUUCGGGAUAACUCAGAGAAAUUUGAGCUAAUACCGGAUGAUGUCUUCGGACCAAAGAUUUAUCGCCCUAAGAUGGGCCCGCGUUGGAUUAGCUGGUUGGUGGGGUAAAGGCCUACCAAGGCGACGAUCCAUAGCUGGUCUGAGAGGAUGAUCAGCCACACUGGGACUAGGACCCGGCCGGGACUCCUACGGAAGGCGGCAGUGGGGGAUAGUGGACAAUGGGCGGAAGGCUGAUCGAGCAAGGCCGCGUAAGUGAUGAAGGCCUUAAGGUUGUAAAGCUCUUUUACCCGAGAUGAUAAUGACGGUAUCGAAAGAAUAAGCUCCGGCUAACUCCGUG